CAAGUUGUGCUUUUGUAGCCUCCAGAUGCUCUGUCUGAAGAAGCAGGUGUGAAAACCUGCUGGAAAAGAUGCACAGCAAAGCAAAGCAGUUUGGUGUGGGUUUGGGGACUAUAUCUUGCAUUGGGUUUUGUCAGUGGUGGUAUUUAAAAAGAAUAAAAUAAUAAUAAUAAUCAGAAGUAGGAAGGGGACCGAUGGUCUCACACAUCAGUUUCCACGUUUUUUGUUUUUUUUUUUUUCAGACUGUUUUCAUGCAGUUCUUAUACUCGAGGUUCAUUUACCAUAUAUAUAUUGGUGAACAUAGGUGAACUAAAGAAAAAAUCCUUUUUUUUUUUUGUAAAAUAACCUAAGUAUUUCUCACGGGAAUUUCUUGAAACCUUUUACAUCUUACUGUAGUUUUAGCAAUUCCAUAAUAAAUUAGGUAGGGAAAAAAGCUUGAUUUGUAUAGGCAUCUGAUAAAUGUAAACAGUUUAUCAGGAAUCAUGACCUCAUAUUUUGUAUCCCCUGAAUGGAAAGCACAAGAAGGUUGAUUCAAAUCUACAUGCAGCAACAGUUUAUCUUUGAAAGUGUGGCACUCUGCUUUUUAAGAGAAAAAAAGAAAUGUUCUGUACUAUUUUGACUUCUUUCCUAAAGAUGUAAACCAGUUUUAGUUCAGGUGGGUUGUGAAUAUCAGUGUUUUAUUAAUCAGUGUAAUUAUUUUCUUUACCUUUUUAAAAGAAAGCAGCAUUUCCUUGUAUAGUUUUUAGUAGUUAGUUCUUGUCCUUGAUUUCUGCAAACAGUGUUGAGGAUGCAUGCUAGAUUUUCCUCUGAUGUAGGGCUUGUUCAUCAUGUGAUGUUUGUGCCUGUAGAAGCAGCCUCUUCAUUCACUACCUGUUAUUUAGUUUGCUUGGAUUUUCUUUCCAUUGGACAGUUAUUUCCAUUUUCAACACAAGGUAUAAACCAGCACUUUUUCUACAACUCCAGGAAUAGCUUUAUCUUUUUAGCUUGCAGCACACUCUUCUGCAUAAAGCUCUUCAGCCAUUCCAAAUAG
RNAcentral lists this long non-coding RNA (1027 nucleotides) under Catharus ustulatus (Swainson's thrush). RNAcentral describes it as "lncRNA (ENSCUSG00005004288.1)". The record is from RNAcentral. Lineage: Eukaryota; Metazoa; Chordata; Aves; Passeriformes; Turdidae.